CCAUGGUGGUGGAGGAUGGGGUCAGCCUCAUGGUGGUGGCGGUUGG
This is a non-coding RNA of Hylomys suillus (short-tailed gymnure), 46 nucleotides long. NCBI's taxonomy places the organism in Eukaryota, Metazoa, Chordata, Mammalia, Eulipotyphla, Erinaceidae. The record is from Rfam.